GAUGAACGCUGGCGGCGUGCCUAAUACAUGCAAGUCGAGCGAACAGACGAGGAGCUUGCUCCUCUGACGUUAGCGGCGGACGGGUGAGUAACACGUGGAUAACCUACCUAUAAUACUGGGAUAACUUCGGGAAACCGGAGCUAAUACCGGAUAAUAUAUUGAACCGCAUGGUUCAAUAGUGAAAGACGGUUUUGCUGUCACUUAUAGAUGGAUCCGCGCCGCAUUAGCUAGUUGGUAAGGUAACGGCUUACCAAGGCGACGAGGCGUAGCCGACCUGAGAGGGUGAUCGGCCACACUGGAACUGAGACACGGUCCAGACGCCUACGGGAGGCAGCAGUAGGGAAUCUUCCGCAAUGGGCGAAAGCCUGACGGAGCAACGCCGCGUGAGUGAUGAAGGUCUUCGGAUCGUAAAACUCUGUUAUUAGGGAAGAACAAAUGUGUAAGUAACUAUGCACGUCUUGACGGUACCUAAUCAGAAAGCCACGGCUAACUACGUG
RNAcentral lists this ribosomal RNA (497 nucleotides) under uncultured bacterium. Its description in RNAcentral is "partial 16S ribosomal RNA". It matches the Rfam family "Bacterial small subunit ribosomal RNA", at positions 28 to 507 of the family's 1533-position model. The record is from RNAcentral.